This 62-nucleotide transfer RNA is filed under the name Elysia atroviridis. RNAcentral describes it as "tRNA-Gly". Lineage: Eukaryota; Metazoa; Mollusca; Gastropoda; Plakobranchidae. The record is from RNAcentral.
CUUUAGUUAGUAUAAACGUACAUUUACCUUCCAAGUAAAAAGUCUACAAAGUAGCCUAAAGA